Molecule: ribosomal RNA, 165 nt
Filed under: Triticum aestivum (bread wheat)
Lineage: Eukaryota; Viridiplantae; Streptophyta; Magnoliopsida; Poales; Poaceae
Description: partial small subunit ribosomal RNA
Source: RNAcentral
CAAUUCGAAUUAUCGUUUGCUAUAGUAGAAAUAACAGAAUUCAAACUUUCAAGUAGGGGAAACUCAAUCAAAUUUGUAACUGUCUCAAUAUAAUCUUUUCCCUUUUUCUUUCUAAAUGUUCUGUUAAGACCAUUUCAAGGCUCCUUUUCGCCAUGCAUAAACUAA